RNAcentral lists this ribosomal RNA (490 nucleotides) under uncultured bacterium. RNAcentral's name for it is "partial 16S ribosomal RNA". It matches the Rfam family "Bacterial small subunit ribosomal RNA", at positions 30 to 507 of the family's 1533-position model. The record is from RNAcentral.
AUUGAACGCUGGCGGCAGGCCUAACACAUGCAAGUCGAACGGUAACAGGAAGCAGCUUGCUGCUUCGCUGACGAGUGGCGGACGGGUGAGUAAUGUCUGGGAAGCUGCCUGAUGGAGUGGGAUAACUACUGGAAACGGUAGCUAAUACCGCAUAAUGUCGCAAGACCAAAGAGGGGGACCUUCGGGCCUCUUGCCAUCGGAUGUGCCCAGAUGGGAUUAGCUUGUUGGUGGGGUAACGGCUCACCAAGGCGACGAUCCCUAGCUGGUCUGAGAGGAUGACCAGCCACACUGGAACUGCGACACGGUCCAGACUCCUACGGGAGGCAGCAGUGGGGAAUAUUGCACAAUGGGCGCAAGCCUGAUGCAGCCAUGCCGCGUGUAUGAAGAAGGCCUUCGGGUUGUAAAGUACUUUCAGCGGGGAGGAAGGGAGUAAAGUUAAUACCUUCGCUCAUUGACGUUACCCGCAGAAGAAGCACCGGCUAACUCCGUG